Molecule: ribosomal RNA, 229 nt
Filed under: uncultured bacterium
Lineage: Bacteria
Description: partial 16S ribosomal RNA
Rfam family: Bacterial small subunit ribosomal RNA
Source: RNAcentral
UCCGUAGGUGGAUCAAUCAGUCAGAGGUGAAAUCCUGCAGCUUAACUGUAGAACUGCCUUUGAUACUGUUGAUCUUGAGUCAUUAUGAAGUAGAUAGAAUAUGUAGUGUAGCGGUGAAAUGCAUAGAUAUUACAUAGAAUACCGAUUGCGAAGGCAGAUCACUAAUAAUGUACUGACACUGAGGGACGAAAGCGUGGGGGACUAACAGGAUUAGAUACCCUGGUAGUCC